This 139-nucleotide ribosomal RNA is filed under the name uncultured eukaryote. RNAcentral's name for it is "partial 18S ribosomal RNA". It matches the Rfam family "Eukaryotic small subunit ribosomal RNA", at positions 1299 to 1458 of the family's 1831-position model. The record is from RNAcentral.
UGGUGGAGUGAUUUGUCUGGUUAAUUCCGUUAACGAACGAGACCUUAACCUGCUAAAUAGUUGACGCAAACUUCUGUUUGUGAUCUACUUCUUAGAGGGACUUCGUGUGUUUAACACGAGGAAGUUUGAGGCAAUAACA